Long non-coding RNA from Apis mellifera (honey bee), 2852 nucleotides. RefSeq lists it as uncharacterized. Lineage: Eukaryota; Metazoa; Arthropoda; Insecta; Hymenoptera; Apidae. The transcript is spliced from 2 exons. The record is from RefSeq and is a predicted model, not a curated record.
CUAAUCAGAAAUCUUCACUUUCAGGCGCGAUUGAAUCCGAGAUGAAGCUUGGCUCGUUCAACCGAAUCGAGGUUUCGCACAAACCCCCGUUGGAUCGUUGAGUCGAUGCCGGAUAAAUUUAUUUUAAGUGUCCUUCCGAUACCUCGAUUCACCAUGCUCGGUCGAAAGGAGUAAUAGCAACUGAGAGACUCGUCUGGCAAGUGUUCUCGUUUGUGGUAAGAAUUCUUCGUUUCUUUCUUUUCUCCUCUUUUCUUUUUUCUCUUUCUUUCUUUUUUUUCCAGUGACCCGACGCUGUGUCAGACGCGAUUGAAAAAAGAAAAAAAAAGGAAAAGAAGGUAGAGGCGCGAGAAGAAAGGGAUUUCCGGGCGCAUAUGAAAUGCACGAGUGACGGGAGGGGAGAAAAAACAUCCGUCACUUUUAUUUAUUUUCUAGAGAGGAAGGGAUCAAAGGCAGCGUGGCGCGACGCUAAUUAGUCCGCUGCAACGUGACGCUGGAAACAGCCACGUGCAAGUUUCGAAUGUACUCGUACGAAAGGAUACGCGAAAAUCUAAUUGCGGCCUGGAUCUGGAUGGCAAACAACUUUCCACGAUUUUCGAAUGGUAAUUUCUGGCCGGGAGGAUAUUUAAUCGCGUCGCGAUAUAUAAAUCUCGAGUUGUUUUAAUUUUGCUCACUUCGUUCACAGUUUUUUAAUCCCGUGAUCUCAUCCCGCGAAUAUGAGAACGCGUUUAACGCUAUCUUAUCAUCUCGGAGUGAUCGUAUAUAAAAUAUAAAUUACCAAGAGCUAAAAUUUACAGCUUUUUUUUUUCUUUUUCUUUUUUUGAUCCCUUACGACAAUAUAAAUUUCUCAGAAGCUUAGAAGAAGAGGAAACGAGAUCGAAGAAAUAAUGGAGCAAUCAGGGUGACGAAGGGCGAAACAAUCUGGAAUUUGUUACCCCCCCUCUCCCCCGAUAGAAUUCUUUCCUUUCUUGUUUUUCAAUCCAGCUACGACUGGACGUACCGGAAAUUACAGCAUGGCGCCCUUCGAUUUCUUCCAUCUCCGGUGGAGAUGUGGAGAGAGAGAGAGUCAAUGUGUGAGUUUACGAGUCCAGUCGCCGGGAUAAACCACGGUGCACAAUCUAAGGAAACGAUAAACGUGGACAUCGGGAUAUUUCUCAGGUUAAAUUCGAUCUUUCUUUCGUUCCUCUUUUAACGAUUUCGUUUUUCAACCGAUCAUUCCUUUUUCGCCGUCGUCCUCCUCCCUUUCUCGUCCUCUGUCUCUCUUUUUCUUCUUUCCAAACGACGUAUCCAAUCCUUCGAUAAAUCGUUGCAAAUUAUUUGUAACUAUAUUUAUUUUUCCAUCCUUUCUUUUUUUCUUUUUCUUCUUUUUUUCUUUUAAGACGACGUAUCGCCUCAGAUUAUCGAUCGUUUCGGUCGAGUAUCGGACCGAAGUCGCGAGACAUUAUUCUCGAAAUUUUUCAAACAGGACGAGAUCAGCCCUGUAUCAAUUCAGUCAUUUAUCAUCAACUGUUUGACGGUAUUCAAGGGACGUUUGGUGAUUGGCGAGGAAAGUUGAGGUUCCCAAAGACUCUUCCUCCAUCCUAAUAAAUCAAUAUUGACGUAGGGGCGUAUUUUAUAUUUUUCUUCUCUCCACCGUCUUCCCAGACAUUCCCAUCGAAUAUCACAUUCCAUCUGUAUCGCGUUUUUCCACACGGUCCACGGUAUUAUUACAUCCCAUCGGAGUAUCGAGCAAAUGGUUCUUUUUUUUCUUUCUUUCUUUCCUCUUCUUUUUUUUUUUUUCUUUUUUUUCGAAACGAGAAAUCUCGUCGAUAUUUUUUUUUCUUUUUCUUUUUUUCGAGACCCACGCUCGUUUCUUUUGUAUCCCCGAAUAUUCGCUCGUUUGUUAUUUCUGUUCUCGUUCGAAGGAAAAGAUAUCGUAAAUCGUUUAUAAACACGAACGGAACGAAUCGAAACAUUAAUCGACGACUCGUAUUCAUUUUCUUAAUCGCGGCGUAUAUAAACAUUCGGUGUAUAGAAACAUUCGUGUUUCGAUAUAAUUCAGUCGACGACGAGUUGCUCGCCGAACGAGAAUAGAAUUAUAUUAUACGGAGUAAUAAAUUUUUCUUCUUCUUUACGUAUCCAAUUGAGUAAUUAAUUUUCGGGCGAAGAAAAAUAGUGAAAGGGGAAAUGAAUCGUCCGCGACGAUUUUUAAUGCGUACUGUACUUUCAAGAGAGAGAGAGAGAGAGAGAGAGAGAGAGAGAGAGAGAGAGAGAGAGGAAGAACAGAUGAACUCGUUCGACGAGUAAAAGAGAAACGCUCGCCUAAUUCCAGUUAGCCAAACUUUCACGUUGUUCCGCAUAUAAUUUGCGAUUUCAUUACUUUCUCGUCUAACUUGGGCGAAAUUUGCAUUGGAGCCUGACGGUACGUUCAAUUAAACGGGCAGAAAUAUAUUUCUCUCUCCUUCCUUCCUUCCUUCCUUCCUUUGGACGAGAUCCGAACGCGCGGAUCAAUCCCGAAAACUUUGCCACGAAACUUCAUCAACAUAAAAUGAUAAUGAUUUCGAUUUCUAAAAUCUUCGACGAUUUGGAUAUUCGCCUCCCCUCUUUUCCCCCCCUCUCAGACGAAAAAGAAUUUUUCGAAAAAACCUUGUAAGCGGUCACGGAUCAUAAAUCUAACGUCUCUUUCGGAUUCGCGCAAUAUUGCUUCGAGCGUCGCGAUCCAUCUCCGACGUUCCAUUCGAAAACGGGCAUUCGUCACGAACGUAUUGAAAAAAACGUGUCAUCAAGACGAAGGAAAACGCAAAAUCUGUAAUCAAUAUCGGUCGUUUCUCGAAUAACACGUGGGGGGAGGGAAGAGGAGGAGAAAAAAAAAAAAA